This is a long non-coding RNA of Manis pentadactyla (Chinese pangolin), 1146 nucleotides long. RefSeq lists it as uncharacterized. The transcript has 3 exons. Lineage: Eukaryota; Metazoa; Chordata; Mammalia; Pholidota; Manidae. The record is from RefSeq and is a predicted model, not a curated record.
AUAAAGCAAUUUUACAAGGAUGCAUAGAGGGUUCACUUACUACUUCUGGAAUGCAAUAGGAAGGAUAUUUGGUUAUCACCUAACUUAGUCUUUUUAUUUCCAAAGAGGCUAAGAGAAAAGAUUAUUUUACCAUGAAUAAGUGACAACAUCCUUACACAGGGAGCAUUAACAAUAAGAAAAGAUACAAGUAUCUCAGAACCCCACCAAGUUUUAUCUGCCCAUUUGUACUGAUGCUUUUCUAAGGAUUUAUGUUUUGCUUAGAGUUCAGAUUUUUACUUCUUUCCAAUGUCUUCAGCCUAAAGGAAAAUUCCUGGUCUCUGGAAUUGUGUUCUUUAUGAUGGUGACCCACUGGAGCUAUGGCCCAUGCUGUGGCAACAGAGGAAUGAAAUCAGCACAAAAAUAGAGGCUUUCAUCUGCUGUAGAGGUUUUCAUUGCUGUUUUUCUCUCUUCAUUUGUCUGAUGGUAAACCAAACCAUACCUGUUCCUGGAAACUGCAUUGGCCAAUUAAGGGUAAAAGAAGAAUUUUUCAUCUGCAGAAUUUCUUUAGAAAGUUAUCACAGCGGCUAGAAGUCAUUUGUACAGAGGUCUGGUUUUAAAAAAAAGUGGGUGGAAAGAAUGGGAAGUAACCCUUUCUUGGUAGGAUUGCAGUGUAUUUGCUCCUGGAAUUAGUAACAAUGAUGAAUUGUUACACAAUGAUGGGGAAGUUCUUAAUGGGUGAUCUAGAGAGACAUUGUAGCUGGACUUUGCUCUGCUCCUGUUUUCUCACCUACUUUACCUCUCCUGGUUGUGAUCACUGCUGGAAAAAUGACACAACUGGGCAGAUAGGAACAAUUCUAAAUAUGAUCUCGGUGCUCACCUGGCCCUCAGUCCUGUCAUUCAGCACAAUUUACCACAUCUGUGCUAUGCCACUUAUUCAUAUUUCACAGAAAAAAUAAUCACUGCACUGAUGACUUGUCUAACCAAAUUCAUUAUUGACCUCUAGAUCACAAAUACAAAAAAAUCUUUUCAGUCCUCUUCUUUUAUAUAUAUGCACAGAAUUUUAUGGCUUCAUGUUUUAUGUUUAGAUCUUUAAUCCAUUUCAAGUUUACUUUUGUGUAUGGAGUUAGACAGUAAUCCAGUUUCAUUCUUUUGCAUGUAGCCAUCCAA